UCUACACUACCACACUAUUACUCAAAGCAGGGACAGGACAAAGGAACAAUUUCUUGCACACAAAUGCAUUCUGGAGGUCAGUUAAUUUAGGACAAUUAAGUACUAUUUAAAUGAAAGAAAAUCUAUAUUUAGUGGGGAAAAGCAAAUGUGGCACAGUGUUAACACUGGUGAUUACAGGUCUACUCCAACUUUAAGUUUGAAAUUGUUUCAAAAUAAAAUGUUAAAGAACAUGUAUCAGCAG
This 241-nucleotide long non-coding RNA is filed under the name Pan troglodytes (chimpanzee). Its description in RNAcentral is "long non-coding RNA NONPTRT002126". Lineage: Eukaryota; Metazoa; Chordata; Mammalia; Primates; Hominidae. The record is from RNAcentral.